Molecule: ribosomal RNA, 125 nt
Filed under: Fusarium langsethiae
Lineage: Eukaryota; Fungi; Ascomycota; Sordariomycetes; Hypocreales; Nectriaceae
Source: RNAcentral
ACAUACGAUCAUAGCUCGCAGAGAACUCGGGAUCCCGUCCGCUCUCCCAUAGAUAAGCUGCGAAGCGCUGGAUUAGUAGUUGGGUCGGUGACGACUAGCGAAUCGAAUCCCCGGUGUUGUAUGUU